RNAcentral lists this ribosomal RNA (459 nucleotides) under uncultured bacterium. Its description in RNAcentral is "SSU rRNA". It matches the Rfam family "Bacterial small subunit ribosomal RNA", at positions 26 to 518 of the family's 1533-position model. The record is from RNAcentral.
AGAAUCAACGCUGGCGGCGUGCCUAACACAUGCAAGUCGAACGAGAAAGUGGAGCAAUCCAUGAGUAAAGUGGCGACCGGGUGAGUAACACGUGACUAACCUACCUUCGAGUGGGGGAUAACCUCGGGAAAACCGAGGCUAAUACCGCAUAACAUCGCAAGAUCAAAGCAGCAAUGCGCUGGAAGAGGGGGUCGCGGCUGAUUAGCUAGUUGGCGGGUAACGGCCCACAAGGCGAAGAUCGGUAGCCGGCCUGAGAGGGCGCACGGCCACACUGGAACUGAAACACGGUCCAGACUCCUACGGGAGGCAGCAGUGGGGAAUUUUGCGCAAUGGGGGAAACCCUGACGCAGCAACGCCGCGUGGAGGAUGAAGCCCCUUGGGGCGUAAACUCCUUUCGACCAAGACGAUAAUGACGGUACUGGUGGAAGAAGCACCGGCUAACUCUGCGCCAGCAGCCGC